GAUCAUGGCUCAGGACGAACGCUGGCGGCGCGCCUAACACAUGCAAGUCGAACGAGCGAGAGAGAGCUUGCUUUCUCAAGCGAGUGGCGAACGGGUGAGUAACGCGUGAGGAACCUGCCUCAAAGAGGGGGACAACAGUUGGAAACGACUGCUAAUACCGCAUAAGCCCACGACCCGGCAUCGGGUAGAGGGAAAAGGAGCAAUCCGCUUUGAGAUGGCCUCGCGUCCGAUUAGCUUAGG
RNAcentral lists this ribosomal RNA (240 nucleotides) under uncultured bacterium. RNAcentral describes it as "partial 16S ribosomal RNA". It matches the Rfam family "Bacterial small subunit ribosomal RNA", at positions 15 to 250 of the family's 1533-position model. The record is from RNAcentral.